GGAUGGGGUGUCUUAAUUACAACUAAUUGACCAUAACCAAUUACAGAUUCCUUUGUUCCUUAUCCACUCCCACUGCUUCAUCU
RNAcentral lists this small RNA (83 nucleotides) under Prolemur simus (greater bamboo lemur). RNAcentral describes it as "Y RNA (ENSPSMG00000022053.1)". Lineage: Eukaryota; Metazoa; Chordata; Mammalia; Primates; Lemuridae. The record is from RNAcentral.